AUCAUGUUGCUCCUAGCAUCUGAUGUAUUAGAAGUUGUAGAAAGCAAACUUGAUGUGUCUUUCUUUGCUUCUCGUUUCAUCAAUGUCUGAUAGAAUUCAACAAGUUCAGGAGCUCGGUGAACUUUAUCGCCACUGCCUGCCCCUCUAGGUAGGCUGCCUGGAGGAGGAGGCGGAGGUGGUCGUCCACCAGGAGGUGGCGGUGGCGGUGGUGGCGCACCAGGUGGUGGAGGUUGUCCUGCUGCAGUGGUAUUUGCAUCAGCAGAAAUGCCACUGGAUGGCUUUGGUGGUGGUCUGGCCACCCUAGGUGGUCUCUUUUCAAUGUGGGCAAGUUUCAUCUUGCUGAUAGUUUGAGAGUCUACAGCCUUAUCGUCAUUGGAU
Molecule: long non-coding RNA, 378 nt
Filed under: Gossypium barbadense (sea-island cotton)
Lineage: Eukaryota; Viridiplantae; Streptophyta; Magnoliopsida; Malvales; Malvaceae
Description: long non-coding RNA (GBAR_LNC021945)
Source: RNAcentral